AUAUUGUGGUGUGGGCAUUCUCUCUGCAGGUCCUUGAACCUAUUCCGUGCUUCCUUCAACGUAUCAUCAAGAUCCUGUUGGAAGGUAGCAAGCUUGUUUCUGAUUUC
Beta vulgaris subsp. vulgaris (sugar beet) is the source of this 107-nucleotide small nucleolar RNA. It matches the Rfam family "Plant small nucleolar RNA R71". Rfam says of the family: R71 is a member of the C/D box family of snoRNAs containing the C (UGAUGA) and D (CUGA) box motifs. Multiple nearly identical copies of this snoRNA have been identified in Arabidopsis, and it is thought to function as a 2'-O-ribose methylation guide for 18S ribosomal RNA. The record is from Rfam. Lineage: Eukaryota; Viridiplantae; Streptophyta; Magnoliopsida; Caryophyllales; Amaranthaceae.